CCUACGGGAGGCUGCAGUGGGGAAUAUUGCACAAUGGGCGCAAGCCUGAUGCAGCCAUGCCGCGUGUGUGAAGAAGGCCUUCGGGUUGUAAAGCACUUUCAGCGGGGAGGAAGGCGGUGAGGUUAAUAACCUCAUCGAUUGACGUUACCCGCAGAAGAAGCACCGGCUAACUCCGUGCCAGCAGCCGCGGUAAUACGGAGGGUGCAAGCGUUAAUCGGGAUUACUGCGCGUAAAGCGCACGCAGGCGGUCUGUCAAGUCGGAUGUGAAAUCCCCGGGCUCAACCUGGGAACUGCAUUCGAAACUGGCAGGCUAGAGUCUUGUAGAGGGGGGUAGAAUUCCAGGUGUAGCGGUGAAAUGCGUAGAGAUCUGGAGGAAUACCGGUGGCGAAGGCGGCCCCCUGGACAAAGACUGACGCUCAGGUGCGAAAGCGUGGGGAGCAAACAGGAUUAGAUACCCCAGUAGUC
Molecule: ribosomal RNA, 465 nt
Filed under: uncultured Klebsiella sp.
Lineage: Bacteria; Pseudomonadati; Pseudomonadota; Gammaproteobacteria; Enterobacterales; Enterobacteriaceae
Description: bacterial SSU rRNA
Rfam family: Bacterial small subunit ribosomal RNA
Source: RNAcentral